UUCCGGUUGAUCCCGCCGGAGGCGACCGCUAUUGGAGUUCGAUUAAGACAUGCGAGUCUGAGCAUUAGCUCGGCGUACCGCUCAGUAACACGUGGGUAACCUGCCCUAUCGUUUUGAAUAACCUCGGGAAACUGAGAAUAAUACAUCAUAGUCCACUACGCCUGGAACGGUGAGUGGAUGAAGGUAGGAUGGGCCUGCGGCGUAUCAGGUUGUAGGGGGUGUAAUGGACCUCCUAGCCAUCGACGCGUACGGGUGUUGGGAGACAUAGCCCGGAGAUGGAUUCUGAGACACGAAUCCAGGCCCUACGGGGCGCAGCAGUUACGAAAACUUGGCAAUGCGGGAAACCGUGACCAGGGAACUCCAAGUGAGUCUCUUUUAGGGGCUCUUUUCUUGACUCUAAAACGGUCUUGGAAUAAGGGGUGGGUAAGGACGGUGCCAGCCGCCGCGGUAAUACCGGCGCCUCAAGUGGUCGUCGCUUUUAUUGGGCCUAAAACGUCCGUAGCCGGUUUGGUACAUUCGUGGGUAAAUCAGCUCGCUCAACGAGUUGAAUUCUGCGAGGACGGCCAGACUAGGGACCGGGAGAGGUGUGGGGAACUCUCAGGGUAGGGGUAAAAUCCUGUCAUCCUGAGAGGACCACCUGUUGCGAAGGCGCCACACUAGAACGGAUCCGACGGUCAGGGACGAAGCCUAGGGGCACGAACCGGAUUAGAUACCCGGGUAGUCCUAGGUGUAAACGCUGUGGACUUGGUGUUGGGGAAGCCCAGAGCUUUCCCAGUGCCGUAGCGAAGGUGUUGAGUCCACUGCCUGGGGAGUACGGUCGCAAGGCUGAAACUUAAAGGAAUUGGCGGGGGAGCACUGCAACCGGAGGAGUGUGCGGUUUAAUUGGAUUCAACGCCGGG
This 899-nucleotide ribosomal RNA is filed under the name uncultured archaeon. RNAcentral describes it as "bacterial SSU rRNA". It matches the Rfam family "Archaeal small subunit ribosomal RNA", at positions 1 to 922 of the family's 1478-position model. The record is from RNAcentral.